RNAcentral lists this ribosomal RNA (468 nucleotides) under uncultured bacterium. RNAcentral's name for it is "partial 16S ribosomal RNA". It matches the Rfam family "Bacterial small subunit ribosomal RNA", at positions 28 to 507 of the family's 1533-position model. The record is from RNAcentral.
GACGAACGCUGGCGGCGUGCUUAACACAUGCAAGUCGAACGGAAAGGCCCUGCUUUUGUGGGGUGCUCGAGUGGCGAUCGGGUGAGUAACACGUGAGUAACCUUCCCUUGACUUUGGGAUAACUUCAGGAAACUGGGGCUAAUACCGGAUAGGAGCUCCUGCUGCAUGGUGGGGGUUGGAACGUUUCGGCGGUUGGGGAUGGACUCGCGGCUUAUCAGCUUGUUGGUGGGGUAGUGGCUUACCAAGGCUUUGACGGGUAGCCGGCCUGAGAGGGUGACCGGCCACAUUGGGACUGAGAUACGGACCAGACGCCUACGGGAGGCAGCAGUGGGGAAUAUUGCACAAUGGGCGGAAGCCUGAUGCAGCAACGCCGCGUGCGGGAUGACGGCCUUCGGGUUGUAAACCGCUUUCGCCUGUGACGAAGCGUGAGUGACGGUAAUGGGUAAAGAAGCACCGGCUAACUACGUG